Long non-coding RNA from Impatiens glandulifera, 608 nucleotides. RefSeq lists it as uncharacterized. The transcript has 2 exons. The record is from RefSeq and is a predicted model, not a curated record. Lineage: Eukaryota; Viridiplantae; Streptophyta; Magnoliopsida; Ericales; Balsaminaceae.
UGACCCAGUUCCAAUCUCUAGCCGUAUUCUUCUCUAUAAACAUAGUUGCCGUAGUUUUCAAUGACCCAGUUCCAAUCUCUAGCCGUAUUCUGCUAAAGAAGUUUAUGUCUACGAUGGCGUAUAUAGAACUUGAAAAACCUCUUCUUCUAGUGCUAAUUAAGGAGGAUAAGAAACCGUCCUGGAAUGCAUGGGGGAGAGGACGUGAGGGAAAAGUGUACAUUUGUCCUGAGCGCAGUUGCAAACAUCACGACCCGAAACAAGCUUUGGGCGAUAUCACAGCAAUAAAGAAACACUACGCCAGAAAACACGGCCUAGAGAAGAAUUGGAAGUGUCCAAAAUGCCUCAAGAAAUACGCAGUGGAGACAGAGGCAGAUACCGACCCAAAAGAACACCUCUUUGUGGGUGAGAGAGGAAUAAAAAGAUGUGUAAAUUAUAGGGUAUAAAAUUAGGGUUUUCAUUGGUGUUAUUUUUUAUUUCCAACUAAUUAUGUGUUUGGUUUGGUUGUGAUUUUGAACAUUAAUGAAACCUUGAUUUGUAGUUUGUUUCCUUUACUUUUACUGAAUGAUACAUUACUUUUACUGAAUGAUACAGUACUUUUAUUCAGGCAA